This 338-nucleotide ribosomal RNA is filed under the name uncultured soil bacterium. RNAcentral's name for it is "bacterial SSU rRNA". It matches the Rfam family "Bacterial small subunit ribosomal RNA", at positions 26 to 371 of the family's 1533-position model. The record is from RNAcentral.
AGGACGAACGCUGGCGGCGUGCUUUACACAUGCAAGUCGAACGGUAACAGGCCGCAAGGUGCUGACGAGUGGCGAACGGGUGAGUAAUGCAUCGGAACGUGCCCAGUCGUGGGGGAUAACGCAGCGAAAGCUGUGCUAAUACCGCAUACGAUCUAUGGAUGAAAGCGGGGGACCGAAAGGCCUCGCGCGAUUGGAGCGGCCGAUGUCAGAUUAGCUAGUUGGUGGGGUAAAGGCCCACCAAGGCGACGAUCUGUAGCUGGUCUGAGAGGACGACCAGCCACACUGGGACUGAGACACGGCCCAGACUCCUACGGGAGCAGCAGUAGGAAUAUGGACAA